This 7355-nucleotide long non-coding RNA is filed under the name Sus scrofa (pig). Its description in RNAcentral is "lncRNA (ENSSSCG00040007473.1)". Lineage: Eukaryota; Metazoa; Chordata; Mammalia; Artiodactyla; Suidae. The record is from RNAcentral.
CUUGGGUGCAGCCUUAAAAAAAGACAAAAAGGCAAAAAAUAAAAUAAAAUAAAAUAAAAAUAAAUGAGAUAGUUGAAGAUCCUUUUCUUAUGAGAAGGAUUUUCAACACAGAAAAAAAUUUCAUUUCUUAAACUGUGGAAUAUCUAGAAUUAAAGGAGGUUGCUAUUUCAUAUCUACUUUUCUUGCUAAUAUAUUAUGAUCAAUGUCUAAUGUUAAGAUUGUGCCAAAAGGACAAGAAUUUGGUCUGCCUUUAGAGUGUGAAUAUAGGUUUUUAUUAAAAAUAUUUACAACUCCCUAUAUUCUCAUUCCCUAAUAUUAACUUCCAAAUUAAUAUCCCAAGUUAUGAGAUGAAUCAUUAUUUCCAAAGGGAUCUUAACAUACUAUUAAGAAUGUCAUAAAAUGUGGUGCCAUUUAGCUGUCUUGGAGAACCAUAAAAAUCUCUGUUUCUGCGUAAAUAUAAAAUUGGCAAACCAAUUUAUGAGCUCUUCUUCAUGCAGCACUGGCUUUGGGCCCUUUUCGCUCCUGUGAUUUGGGUCGUAUUACCUAAAAAGGAGUUCAAGAUCUCUGUGAUCUGAAUCUACCCCUCAUUGAGAUGUUAAAACCGAACUCCCAAGGUGAUAUUCCGGAGGAUGGGGCCUUGGAAAGGUGAGGCGGUCAGGAGGGUGGAGGCCUAAUGAACAGGAUUAGUAAUCUUAUGAAAGAAGACCCUAGAAAGAGCCCUCAUCCUUUCCAUGGAGAAAACUCUGCAACCAGGGUUCCCAGCAUGGCUCAGCGAUGACGAACCCGACUGGUACCCAUGAGGAUGCAGGUUUGAUCCCUGGCCUCACUCAGUGGGUUAAGGAUCCCCAUUGCUGUGAGCUGUGGUGUAGGUCACAGAUGUAGCUUGGAUCCUGUGUUGCUGUGGUGUAGGCCGGCAGCUGUAGCUCCCAUUUGACCCCUUGCCUGGGAACUUCCAUGUGUCGUGGGUGUGGCCCCCCCCCCCCCAAAAAAAAAAGGUAAGAAAAGUCUGCAAACCAGAAGAGGGUUCUUGCUUGAACAUCAGGCACCCUGAUUUGGGACUUUGCCUGGUAAAACUGUAAGAAAUAAAUAUCUGUUGUUUAUAAACGACGCACUCUGUGCUCUGUUAUUACGGCAGCCGAGACCGAGUAACAGUGAGAGGUAGUAGGCUGCCUACACAGGUAGAGCGAAUCACACCUGUGUUUCUUCUAAAUUCUGCCUUCUGUAUCUCACACAGGUGCUUUUUGAAAGGUAUCACUAAGGAUCAACUAUCAAAUGCAGAUAUUUUCAAAUUAUAUUCAUAUUUGGAAUGUGGGAUAUUUUUUAACACCAUGCAUUCAUUCAGUAUUUAUUGAUCACCUGCUGUAUGUCCUUGGCAGUGUGCGCGGUAGUGAGGCUAGAUCAGGGACCAAGUCAAAGCUGUCUCUUUCUUCACAGGGCUUAAACUUGAGAGGGGAAGACAAAUGAACGUCACAUAAUGAAACAUUCACUUCCACCAUAAUAAGUGCUGCAGGAGGGGAACAGCAGGAUCUGAAUUUGAUGGGUGGUUAAAGCAAGCAUUCCUGAGGGACAUAGAUCUGUAGACGGGAGCAGAUGCCUCUCCUCUGGAUGGAGAAUAGGAUAAGCGUCUUUCGAGCAAAAAGGAGGAGUAUGCAUGAAAUCCUCCAGGUGUGAAGGCCUUAUUUACAGAUUAAAUUACUUAUUACAAGCCAAAUGUGCAUAAAAAUGUGAUAUAUACAUAUUUAUCAUUAUUUUGGUUUUCUCUGUGGCUGUUUGAUUAUAUCAGUCCACGUUCAGCCAGAGAUACAGAAAUCGUAGGAGAUAUGUAUUGAGAAAUUUCUUAUAAGCAAUUGGCUCACACAACUGAGGACAUGCUAGGUAAGUCCAUUGGCACAUCCGUAGGGCAGCCUGUUACUCUUGGCAGGAGCUGGAGCUGCUGUCCAGGGCAGAAUUUCCUUUCGCUCUGCUUUUAAUUCCUGUCAACUGAAAGACCCACCCAGAAUGUCUAAGAUAGUCCUGCUUACUUAAAGUUCACUGAUUCUGGAUUUUAAUCAUAUAUACAGAACACCUUCACAGCAACACCCGGGUUAUUGUUUGAAUAACUGGGAACUCUAGCCUAGCCAAGGUGACACAUAAAAUUGACCAUCGCACCAGUACAAUUUAAAUUUGUCCAGCAUGGGAGUUCCUGGUGUGGCUCAGCAGGUUAAGGACCCAGCAUAGUCUCUGUGAAUAUGUGGGUUCGAUCCCUGGCCUCGCUCAGUGGGUUAAGGAUCCAGCAUUGCUGGGAGCUGCAGCUCAGAUUCGGUGUUGCCGUGGCUGUGCCUGGGAACUUCCAUAUGCUGCAGGUGUGGCCCUAAAAAAGGGACAAAAGGAAAAAAAAUUUUAAAACGUGUCCAGUAUGAACAUUUACGCAGUUCUUUUAGGUAAACCCCAGACUCUCAUUUAGAUAAAAAAUGUGCUCCUUGAACUACCUCCUUCUCAAGCCACUUCCCUCUGUGUGAUGGGAUCCCAGUAUCUGAAGCUGACUCUUAUGGGAAGGCCGUGCCUUAUGGGGUCUGAAGUCGUGGGAGGGGUGCCGUGCUGCCCCUCAUGCUGGUUCUUGCGUGUAUGUGUACACUAGCUGAUGUGUGUACCUUCCAGAUGUCUGUGCGUGAUCUACCCGGUUGAUGUGUGUCUUCUGUGUGUCUGGAGAGUCCCCUCAGUGGCGGGUCCUGCAGACCUCUAGACCUCACCUUUGUCCUCCAUUUGGCUCCUGGCCUGGGAGUUUUCUUAGCCCCUCACUCUCCAGGAGGGCUCAAUGGUAAACCCACCGGUUCUCAAGACAUCACCACCUUGACAUGGGCAGCAGCUUUGGAAUGCUGGCUAUAAGGUUCUCCUCUGUCUGACAGGACUCCACCACCUUGAUUCCUGGAAUGCCUAGCUCGACAGAGGGGAGCCGAGAUUGCAGCCUCUUUUCGUGGCCUCUUUCUGGCAGAUGAGAUGCUGCCUUCAGGGCUUCCCCUGUAGAGCCAAUAAGCAUGUCUUUGUCGGUUUUUAUUCUUAUUUUUUUCUUCCCACAAUCUCCCAGGAUUAGAAAGGGGUGGGCUUUCUUUCCUUCUUGGCAGAACUCUUCCAUGCGCUUUGUUAACCCCACCCCUUGAUGUCUUUUGAAAGGCAGAGUUUAAGUAUCAGUCACGUCCUACACCAAGCAGAGAUUGAGGAGAAAGAACCUCACUUCCUUCUGCUGGCAAACUUUACUAGGGAAAAUCAAGAGCUUGGGGCGGGGGUGGCCAGGGCUGGGAAAGUGAGGAGUACACUCAUUAAGCUUCGCUCAGAGCCUCAGAAUUUAAAUGUCAACUCCUGAUAUGAAUGACAAUUCGAUUUUAAAAGAGCUUCUUUACAGCAGUAAAAACUCCCAGACCAGCGCAAAUGGAACACAAAGUGUUUCUAACAGUGGUGCAAAUGGUUUCCUAACGAUCCAUUUAUCUUAAAGACGUCUCCACAUCUAACCAGAGGCAUUGUCAAGUCUAAGUUAUUGGAGAGAGGGUUUCAAUUUGAGGCCUAGAAGUUAAGUUUAUUUUUCAACAAAUGUGAGCAAGUGUCGAGGCACAGCCUGUUAUAUGAGUUCUGAGUCUUAGUAUAAUUGGUUGAUUAGCCAUUGCAAAGACUUAUUCUUUGAAGAAUAAAAUGAAGAUCAAUAAAAAAUAGAAUUUCAUACAUUUUGUGAUCUAAUGGAGCAGAGACAGGGCUGACUUGUGCUUAGAAGAGCCCACACUUGGUUUAAUGCCCUGCUCUGGUCAUCUUAACAUUUUUAAUUGUUCUAAAAUUAGAAAAUGACGUACAGUCAUUUUUUAAAAUUCUAAAGUGUUGCCCUAACACUGCCAAUCUCUAUUUUCUAGUCUCUGGUUAGUUUUCUUAUGACAAGUGAUGGGUUUUUGUUGUGUUUUCUUGCAAAUUUCAGUGAAAGCUGGAAUAUUUUGUUUCUUAUAAUGUUAAGAUUGCAAAAUAGCAAAAUUUUCUAAAGGAAAGCUAACGGGCUUUGCUAUUAUGCCUUAUUAGCAUUGGCUGUUAGGUAUUUGACUAUUUAGCUUCUAUUUUAAGGAAUUAAUAUUUGAUAUAGAGUUACAAAUUAAGCACAUAUAAACUCCAAUAAAUAGGGAAGGAGCUGUUGGAAAAAUGAGAGUGGUAGAUUAGGAGGAAGCAAUAGACAUAAUACGGUGAUACUGUAUUUUAGAAAUGUAUAAUCAACCUUAUUUGAGAAAGAAUUGGAAGCAGAAUACCAUUCAGCAUACCAGGGGAAUGGAGAAAUAGACUUCUCAUAACUGGUAUUUAAGCACUUAGAUGUUUGCUUUAGCGUAUUUUAAUGGAAAUUAUUGUUUCUAUGGAAAUCUUAAGUAUUGCAGGCAUCUGAUUCAGAAAAUAGAAUGUACUACCCAUAGUGUUUCUUUUAUUAGUAACUCAGGGUCACCACUGUGAAUAUCAUGUCUUAACUGUUUUCUCUUUGGGAACUAUAAAGGGGCAUAGGAGUCUCUUGCAUCUCUCAAGGAGGCCCUCCAAGCUCCUGCAGAGUUCUAGCUGGUACUUAUUUGUUUCAUAUGUUGGCAUGAGCUCCGCUUUCUAAUAACCCCUUUAACUGAUGUGACUAGGUUUGUUUCUGUGGCUUCCCCCUUUCUCAGGAUUUUGAAAUAAUUUGAUUCUGGUCAGUCUCUUUAUGUGAUUGGAAUUAAGAGAUCUGUAAAAAUGCAGGAGCCAUACCUCAGCCAUCUCAUACCAUAUGGUACCCUAAGAAGGAUAGAAAUCGAAUCUCAGAGAGUUGAGAAGUACACAGAAGGACAAGGAGGAAGGAGAGAAGAGAUGGAGAGAGCGUGCCCAGAUUCCUGAAGGCUUUCUGGCUUCUGUUUCCAGGGCCUCAUGAGGUCAUGCUUGCUUUGAGAUUCUUUAAGCAUCUCAUUAUCUUUUAAGUAACUCCAAAACUUAAAAAAAAAAGUUUGCAUUUGCAUCCUUUUACGUGUGAACAGAGGCAUCGUAAAUUUGAUUGUGUCUGUAUUAGACUUCUGAGCAGCUACUAUUCAAUGUUAACGCAUUUGAAUUUGCAGUUCACAAGCUCUGGCUCUUUUUGUUUGCCUUAACCCCAAUUCAGGACUUUAUAUAUAACUCUUUUUACUUCCAGUAUCACUGACGUUAUGUGUAUGAAUAUCAUAAUAGUCUAAGUAAGUGAUGAUGAAGGCCUCGGCUAGUGUUAGGACCCUAAGGGAGAUUCUGGGCUAACUAGGAAGGGCAGGAUAGUAUUAGGAGGGGGCUUUAUAGACCUUUAACAGGUGCGAUGAGCCGAAUGGGAGGCUGAGUCUUGCAGAGGCUUAUGAAGGAGUGGGUGGAGUUUGAUGCUGGUCACGACAAUAGAGCACAAAGAAGGUGUGCAUGGGAUGAUGCAUUCCUUUCAGGUUCUGUUGAGUUUGCUUCCCUUGAGGAGGAAAGUAUUUGAGUCUGGAGCUCCAGAGAACAACCUAAAUGACAGUUAAAAAAAUCCAGGAGUUAUCCAUUUUUAACUGAGAAUUGACUCCAGAGUGGUUAAAGAGACUACUCAGCAAAGGUGUGCAGUGUAAGAAGAGAAAGCUAGAGGUGGGACACUGAGAACAGCUUCCAGUGGAGGAAGCGGAGGAGCUUCUGGGAAAAUUGCGAAGCAGCAGCCUGGGGGGCAUGAAGGAAGCCAGAAAAGACAGCAUCAGAAAAGACAAUCAAGAGAUGUUUUUGAGAAGGAAAGAAUAGUCAGUGCUGUCAACUGACCUUGGAAAGUCUAGUAGGGUGAGGAGUGUUAGACACCCAUAAGCCGUGAUAGCUCAGAGACAGCUGCCGCCUUGAGGUUCCCUGCUGCUAGUGGAUUGAUGGGGGGAAGGACAGAUAACAGUGGAAAGAGACGAAAGGGACAGUGUGGAGGUGGACAUCAAGUAUCUGCCUUUCAGAGGCUGAGCCGAGAGUGCAAGGAGAGGAUUUAUUCAUGCAAGAAGGUGCAGAGAUGAAGGGAAAGGCUUUUUAACAAUAGAGAUUGUGUGCUGUCCCACUGAAGGAAGAAGGAAGUCAAGAGGCACAAGGGAAGGGGGGGGGGAUUAACUGACACGGGGAGAUGGAAAAGGACAGGUUGUAGAGCCUUAGUGUCUGAAUUUACUUCCGAUAAACGUUCUGGACAGACACACUUAGGUCAGCAGGGAGAUAUGCAAGGAUGAAGGUGUACUAUCCCCAACCCAGGGGUGGUAUUUCCCUUCGUAAGGAAUGGCCACUUAGGAGGGUACCAUUGCUUCUGUCUACCUUAGGGGGAAGAGCGAGGCAUAAUUUAUUUAAUUUGUGAAUUGGGACAAACCAGCCUUUUUUUUUUUUUUCUGCCGUACAACAAAAUGAGCAUCAGUUAUCUGUAUACACACAUCCAUUCUCUUCCAGAUUCUUUUCCCAUGAGGGUUAUCACAGAAUACUGAGCUGAGGUCCCUCGACUAUAGAGCAGGUCCCUGUUGACCACCAUCCAUCCAUGUACAGUAGUGUGCAUAUGCCAGCCCCAAACUCUCAAUCCAUCCCUCACCUCCCACCUUUCUCAUAUGGUAACCAUAAUUUUCUUUUCAAAGUAUGUCUGUUUCCGUUUUGUGACUGAUCUUAAGUUUUUUUUUAUCACUUAUUUUAGAUCUAACAUAUAAGUGAUACCAUAUGUUUGUCUUUCUCUGACUUAUUUCUCUUAGUAUGAUAAUCUCUAGUUGCAUCCAUGUUGCUGCAAAUGACAUCGUUUUGUUCUUUUUCAUGGCUGAGUAAUAUUCCUUAUGUAUAUAUACAUCACAUCUUCUGUAUCCAUUCUUCUGACAAUUUUUGUCUUACUUCUCAACUGUCUCAGAAUUCAGCCAGGAAAGAGGCAUCCUUUCUUCUUGGUGCUCUUUAUUAAUUUUUAGCAAACUUUUCUUCCAAAAUAUGUGGGGAAUGGUUGAUAAUAGAAGAUAAAAUUUCUCUGUGUGUAUGCAAAUAUAAAGCUAAGAGCAUCUCCACCUUUUGCCUUCAGGUAGGAGGCAAGGGUAAAUACUAGGAGAAGGGAUCAGGAGCAUGGUAGAAUCUGAAGAGUCAAGUGUAGAGGAGUUCCCAUUAUAGCCCAGUGGAAACAAAUCCAACUAGGAACGAUAAGGUUGCGGGUUCCAUCCUUGGCCUUGCUCAAUGGGUUAAGGAUCCGGCAUUGCCGAGAGUUGUGGUGUAGGUCGCAGAUGCAGUUUGGAUCUGCUGUUGCUGUGACUGUGGCUGUGGUGUAGGCCAGCAGCUUCAGAUCCAAUUAAACCCCUAGCCUGGGAACCUCCAUAUGCCAUGGGUUCGGCCCUCAAAGGACAAAAGACAAAAAAAAAAAAAAAAAAAAAAAA